This is a long non-coding RNA of Esox lucius (northern pike), 1363 nucleotides long. NCBI's taxonomy places the organism in Eukaryota, Metazoa, Chordata, Actinopteri, Esociformes, Esocidae. The record is from Ensembl.
AGAAUAAAGUGGUUCAACAGUCAUCUUUACAGCUUCCAGUUCUGCUUAUUAAAUAUUACAUUGAGAGUAACCAUAAACAAUGAACAAAGCUGAAAUGGUUGCUGAAUGAUUAUAUUCUCAGAGAUUGGCUGUGCUUUUUAAUUUUAAAGGUUUGAAAAAGAGAAACAUGCAAUAUUAUUAGAAGUUUAAGAUGGUUUGAGUGUUAUUGAAAAUAUCCUACACUAUGUUUAGCAUACUGUAAAUAAACCCACAUUGUGUUGCACAAACUUUAGUUUGACAUAAACUGACGUAAGAGAGACAGUAGAGACAAAAUCAUUGACUUGGAGAACCCCAUCAUUUCAAUGUGUAAUCAAUAUGUUACAAUUCACAAACACUGUGUCCACUGGCUAUGCUCUCUGCCCACAUCCUCCUCACAGUUCCAAAGUAAUGCACACCCUGCUUUUGUUUUGCCAACUGUCACACGGCUCCACAUUUUUCUUUUACUGCCAGCAUGCUGUCAUGUUCUUUAAGAGGAUAUAUUGAAAGUUAAUUACGGAUGGUAAUAAAUGAGAAAAAUUCAUAGGCAUUACUUAGUUUGACCUUAAGUACAUUUUCUGCUUUACUGGUUUCAAGUUUCACGAAACUGAUAUGUUGUACAUGACAGUUCUCUAAUGCUUGUUGACUUUGUUGGCCAAUAAAAUGUUAAGGCAUUCCAUACUAUGCUCAUACAUUGACAUUUACAAGCACAUGAAAUGGUGUACAAGACAAUUUUAAAUUUUCACUGCAAGUCAAAGUUGUGAUAAUAGAUGCAGUUUAUCUUAAUUUCUGUCUUUGUGCGCAUUUCAGUGUACUUUUCAAUCAAUGUUUAGUUAUUGAAUUUAAUGUCUAUUGGCCAUAUUGACAUUUCUAGCCUGCAUUUAUGAAAGUAAUCCUCACUUUCCUUUUUCAGUUGCAUUACAGUUUUUGGAUGGAAAACACUAUGGAGAGUGAGGUGAUGCAGCAUGGUUUUGUAGUAUUAUUCACGGUCAUGGACCCUUUGUGGCCCCUGCAGUAAAUACCUUCCAGAUCAUCAAGCUUCUCAGAUUAGCCUCCCAUGUCAAGCUCAAACUUGUAUUAUUUUGCCUGAAAUAUUCACAACAUACAAUCAAUCGUGCUUGGAUUAAGCAGAAUUGUCAAGGCUAAGAAUUUAUAAUUGGCUUUAUGUGGUUUUAAGUUUGUGCAUUCUAUUAAAAAAUGUUUUAAUCAAAUACUGAUUGCAUUACAGUGAUUUUGCCCAAUACUGUUUAGAUAAAAAAUACACCUGCAGUCCAUGCUGAAUCAUCUGCAAAAAUGUACAUGUGUGCACUGUCUGUAGAGACAAACAAAUUCAUUUUAAACAAGCAAC